AGGUGAGGACGACCUCGCACCUUCCUAAAUCCGGUAGGGACGGCCCUG
Molecule: non-coding RNA, 48 nt
Filed under: Microvirga sp.
Lineage: Bacteria; Pseudomonadati; Pseudomonadota; Alphaproteobacteria; Hyphomicrobiales; Methylobacteriaceae
Description: Guanidine-II sequence
Rfam family: Guanidine-II riboswitch aptamer (mini-ykkC)
About the family: Simpler in structure and has fewer highly conserved nucleotide positions than the ykkC-yxkD leader.
Source: RNAcentral